This 432-nucleotide ribosomal RNA is filed under the name uncultured bacterium. Its description in RNAcentral is "bacterial SSU rRNA". It matches the Rfam family "Bacterial small subunit ribosomal RNA", at positions 30 to 459 of the family's 1533-position model. The record is from RNAcentral.
AUUGAACGCUGGCGGCAUGCCUUACACAUGCAAGUCGAACGGCAGCACGGGAGCAAUCCCUGGUGGCGAGUGGCGAACGGGUGAGUAAUAUAUCGGAACGUGCCCAGUAGUGGGGGAUAACUGCUCGAAAGAGCAGCUAAUACCGCAUGCGACCUGAGGGUGAAAGGGGGGGAUCGCAAGACCUCUCGCUAUUGGAGCGGCCGAUAUCAGAUUAGCUAGUUGGUGGGGUAAAGGCCUACCAAGGCAACGAUCUGUAGUUGGUCUGAGAGGACGACCAGCCACACUGGGACUGAGACACGGCCCAGACUCCUACGGGAGGCAGCAGUGGGGAAUAUUGGACAAUGGGCGAAAGCCUGAUCCAGCAAUGCCGCGUGAGUGAUGAAGGCCCUAGGGUUGUAAAGUCUCUUUUACCUAGGGAUGAUAAUGACAGUA